GAUCCUGGCUCAGGAUGAACGCUAGCUACAGGCUUAACACAUGCAAGUCGAGGGGCAGCAUUCCAGUUUGCUUGCAAACUGGAGAUGGCGACCGGCGCACGGGUGAGUAAAACGUAUCCAACCUGCCGAUAACUCGGGGAGUAGCCUUUCGUAAAGAAAGAUUAAUACCGAUGGCAUAAUAGAACCGCAUGGUUUGAUUAUUAAAGAAUUUCGGUUUAUCGAUGGGGAGUGCGUUCCAUUAGG
RNAcentral lists this ribosomal RNA (243 nucleotides) under uncultured bacterium. RNAcentral's name for it is "partial 16S ribosomal RNA". It matches the Rfam family "Bacterial small subunit ribosomal RNA", at positions 15 to 245 of the family's 1533-position model. The record is from RNAcentral.